This 465-nucleotide ribosomal RNA is filed under the name uncultured bacterium. RNAcentral's name for it is "partial 16S ribosomal RNA". It matches the Rfam family "Bacterial small subunit ribosomal RNA", at positions 28 to 507 of the family's 1533-position model. The record is from RNAcentral.
GACGAACGCUGGCGGCGUGCUUAACACAUGCAAGUCGUACGGUAAGGCCCUUUCGGGGGUACACGAGUGGCGAACGGGUGAGUAACACGUGAGUAACCUGCCCACAACUUUGGGAUAACGCUAGGAAACUGGUGCUAAUACUGGAUAUGUGCUCCUGCUGCAUGGUGGGGGUUGGAAAGCUCCGGCGGUUGUGGAUGGACUCGCGGCCUAUCAGCUUGUUGGUGGGGUAGUGGCCUACCAAGGCGGCGACGGGUAGCCGGCCUGGGAGGGUGACCGGCCACAUUGGGACUGAGAUACGGCCCAGACUCCUACGGGAGGCAGCGGUGGGGAAUAUUGCACAAUGGGCGCAAGCCUGAUGCAGCAACGCCGCGUGCGGGAUGACGGCCUUCGGGUUGUAAACCGCUUUCAGCAGGGACGAAGCUUUUUGUGACGGUACCUGCAGAAGAAGCACCGGCUAACUACGUG